Brassica napus (rape) is the source of this 2653-nucleotide long non-coding RNA. RefSeq lists it as uncharacterized. Lineage: Eukaryota; Viridiplantae; Streptophyta; Magnoliopsida; Brassicales; Brassicaceae. The transcript has 2 exons. The record is from RefSeq and is a predicted model, not a curated record.
GGGGGGGGGGGGGAAUUGAAUUGGCGCCCAAAAAAAAAAAAAGUUAGACUCUCUCUCUCUCCGUCUUCUUCAUUUCAUUUCCUUUCCUUCUCUAUAUCAAGGGUUCACUCUCCAUCUCUCUUUCAUCUCACAUCACGAAGCGACAUCUAAAAAAUUGCGGCUUGGAUCCAUAGGAUAAGAAAAUGAACAAGAGGCAGAAUAAGAAGAUGAAGAAACACUUCGACAUGAUUGGGUACGUAACAGAUGCCCACUACGGGAUUCCAAGCCGUUGCCCAUGUGGGGAACGAGUCAUCGACGAGGUCUCUCAAAAACCAAAGUAUCCAACAUAUUUUGAUACCUUUUCUGGGAGUAGAUACUUCACAUGCAAGGACUUCGAUCGAGGUAAUCUGACUAACUUUAAUUCAUUUUAGAUUUUGUUCCUUUAGAGGGGAUAUAACAGAGUUUUGGGGUUUUACUUGCAGAACGAUGGCCUCCACUUUCGUCAACCAUGGGUUAUCGGUGUCUAGGAGGUUCAGCGGUUAAGGGAGCGUAUGAAUAUGAUGGCUGAUGAGAUUGCAGAGUAUAAGGAGUUUGUGUCCCGUCUUCCAUGAGCGUCAUUGUAUGAAUUUAUGUUCUAUAUUUGUUUUGUUAAGACUUUUUUAUGGUUAAAGAACUCUUAUGUUGUCAUCGUUCAGACUAGUCUACGGUUAACUUGUAUUCGGACCUUAGCUGUUUUGAUUUGUUAAACAAAGUACUUCUCAGUUUUACUACUUUUUACAAUUGAACACAACACAAAGUAUUUCUAAGUAGAACGAAGUAUAUACUAAACCGAAUUUGUAGAGGUGGUUGCGUUAAUGAAUUGGUAUAACCGAAUUGGUAUUUCUAAAUGAUUUGGUUGAACUUACAUCACUCGAUUUAUUAGAAGAAUAAAUGAACUGGUUGCGUAACUUAAAUGAUUUGUUUUAUUAAGCUAAUGAUGAAAAGUUGUACCCAGUUGGAAAAGAAUCAUACAUAGAAUUUACUAGAAUAUCUAUAUCUAUACUAUAUUAAAAGGGUUAUAUGAGCAUCAGAGAGGACGUCCACGUCAGACAAUAAAAUCGACCAAUCAAGAGAUUCCUUUUUGACACAUCAUCACGAGUUAAAAAUAUGGGCUUCGUUUUUUUUUUGAGACAAAAUGUAAAUGUCAAUGCCCAGGAAGCCCAUUCUUUUUUCUCUUAGCCUUCUUCGUUUCACCUUUCACGAUCUAAAGUGGAGAGAUCCGACGUUUCCCUUUUUCAAUUCUCCAAACCCCCAAUUUUCUAGAUGAUUCGUGAAACCCUUUGCUCUUCCCCUCUUCGUUUCCAUCUCACGAUCUGAUCCACACGAUUAAUCAAUACAUCCUCCACAAUUGAUUGAGAUGGCUUCAGGUCCAGAUCCGAACAGCUUUGGUGAUGGUGCGAAGCGGGAUGAAACUACGACCAAGGUUCCUUCUAAGGAUCCCAAGAAGAAGGAUGAUAAGAAAGAGGAAGAUCUGUCUGAAGAGGACUUGAAACUGAAGCAGAACCUGGAGCUCUAUGUUGAGAGGGUUCAAUACCCUAAUCCUGAACUGCAGAAGGCUGCUCUCGAAAGCAUGAGGUAAUUCGUGUGUUUCUCUUAACCUAUUGUCAAUUUAAUUAGUUGAUAAUACUUAUAUAAUCUUUUUUUUUGGAUUUUAUAGUAUAAUUUUAAUUUAGUCUAUGUUUUUUUAAUCUGUAGGCAGGAGAUCUGUGCCUUAACAAGCUCCAUGACGUUGUUAGACCGGAUGCCAAAGAGGUUGUCAUGGCUAGAACUUGGAGGUUCUCAAAGGUUUUGUGGUUAGUGAUGCUACUGAUGUGGAGACGUUGUGUCUACUGGCUGAACUGAAGCACUUGAAGAAGCUGAGAAAGCUAAGCAUUACUAUAAACAAAGGUGGUGAAUUCACUGUUUCUCAGCUGUUUGUGGAUAUUCAGGACUUCUCCAAUCUGGAGAAGUUGAAAGUGGCGUGGGGAGGUAUUAAUGAACACAACAAAGCUGAAUCUACUUCUGGAGCAGUAAAAUAAUUCAUCAGGUCGAUGACACGGCUUCCUCUUAAUAUCCCAGUUACAGAUCCAAAGCCUCACAAGGCUCCAAAGAAGGUAGCCGUUCCAAGCCACCUUCCAGAAAAGUUAAUGAAACUGGACCUGCAGUGUUUUCCUGAUGCUGAACUUCCCUCAUUGGUUGAGCCUGGUAAGCUACGUAUGUUGGAAAAACUCUACAUCAAAGGAGGAACCAAGCUUACAGGCUUUGGGAAGUCAGUGCCUGAGAAGCCAACAGAGUGCAGUGUCAAGGUUUUGCGUCUGAAAUUCCUUCCCAGGCUAAAAGUGGAGUGGAGGGAGCUGAGGGAACUAUACUUUCCAAAACUGGAGUUCUUGGAUAAGUAUAAGAGCCCUCAAGUUAGUUUCUGCCCCUGUGAUGGUAUCGGAAUCUGGCGCGGCAAGUCUAACCAACUCUGAGCUGAGAGUUGCUCAGUUUUCCACAUGUUGUCUAUCCAUUCUGUUUCUGUUGUUGUAUGUUUGUUUCCUCAUUUUCCAUUGAUGUCUUCCUUGUGAAUAUAACAAUAUGAUGACACCUACAGUAUUGUAAUAGAAAAACUUUCAGACAAAUUUCUUGAUGAGCAAGUUAAAACCCAUGUUUGAUA